GACGAACGCUGGCGGCGUGCUUAACACAUGCAAGUCGAACGAUGAAGCUAGAGCUUGCUCUGGUGAAUUAGUGGCGAACGGGUGAGUAACACGUGAGUAACCUGCCCCGAACUCUGGGAUAACUGCUGGAAACGGUAGCUAAUACUGGAUACGACCUACGAAGGCAUCUUCUGUAGGUGGAAAGAAUUGCGGUUCGGGAUGGACUCGCGGCCUAUCAGCUUGUUGGUGAGGUAAUGGCUCACCAAGGCGACGACGGGUAGCCGGCCUGAGAGGGUAACCGGCCAAACUGGGACUGAGGCACGGCCAGGACUCCGACGGGCGGCAGCAGUGGGGAAGAUUGCGCAAUGGGCGCAAGCCUGAUGCAGCAACGCCGCGUGAGGGAUGGCGGCCUUCGGGUUGUAAACCUCUUUUAGUAGGGAAGAAGCGAAAGUGACGGUACCUGCAGAAAAAGCACCGGCUAACUACGUGCCAGCCGCCGCAGUAA
This 484-nucleotide ribosomal RNA is filed under the name uncultured bacterium. Its description in RNAcentral is "partial 16S ribosomal RNA". It matches the Rfam family "Bacterial small subunit ribosomal RNA", at positions 28 to 523 of the family's 1533-position model. The record is from RNAcentral.